UGCUGGAGGUAUCAGAAGUGCGAAUGCUGACAUAAGUAACGAUAAAGCGGGUGAAAAGCCCGCUCGCCGGAAGACCAAGGGUUCCUGUCCAACGUUAAUCGGGGCAGGGUGAGUCGACCCCUAAGGCGAGGCCGAAAGGCGUAGUCGAUGGGAAACGGGUUAAUAUUCCCGUACUUGGUGUUACUGCGAAGGGGGGACGGAGAAGGCUAUGUUGGCCGGGCGACGGUUGUCCCGGUUUAAGCGUGUAGGUGUGUGUUCCAGGUAAAUCCGGUUCACUUUAACACUGAGGCGUGAUGACGAGGCACUACGGUGCUGAAGCAACAAAUGCCCUGCUUCCAGGAAAAGCCUCUAAGCAUCAGGUAACAUCAAAUCGUACCCCAAACCGACACAGGUGGUCAGGUAGAGAAUACCAAGGCGCUUGAGAGAACUCGGGUGAAGGAACUAGGCAAAAUGGUGCCGUAACUUCGGGAGAAGGCACGCUGACAUGUAGGUGAAGUGAUUUACUCAUGGAGCUGAAGUCAGUCGAAGAUACCAGCUGGCUGCAACUGUUUAUUAAAAACACAGCACUGUGCAAACACGAAAGUGGACGUAUACGGUGUGACGCCUGCCCGGUGCCGGAAGGUUAAUUGAUGGGGUCAGCGCAAGCGAAGCUCCUGAUCGAAGCCCCGGUAAACGGCGGCCGUAACUAUAACGGUCCUAAGGUAGCGAAAUUCCUUGUCGGGUAAGUUCCGACCUGCACGAAUGGCGUAAUGAUGGCCAGGCUGUCUCCACCCGAGACUCAGUGAAAUUGAACUCGCUGUGAAGAUGCAGUGUACCCGCGGCAAGACGGAAAGACCCCGUGAACCUUUACUAUAGCUUGACACUGAACAUUGAGCCUUGAUGUGUAGGAUAGGUGGGAGGCUUUGAAGCGUGGACGCCAGUCUGCGUGGAGCCGACCUUGAAAUACCACCCUUUAAUGUUUGAUGUUCUAACGUGGACCCGUAAUCCGGGUUGCGGACAGUGUCUGGUGGGUAGUUUGACUGGGGCGGUCUCCUCCUAAAGAGUAACGGAGGAGCACGAAGGUUGGCUAAUCCUGGUCGGACAUCAGGAGGUUAGUGCAAUGGCAUAAGCCAGCUUGACUGCGAGCGUGACGGCGCGAGCAGGUGCGAAAGCAGGUCAUAGUGAUCCGGUGGUUCUGAAUGGAAGGGCCAUCGCUCAACGGAUAAAAGGUACUCCGGGGAUAACAGGCUGAUACCGCCCAAGAGUUCAUAUCGACGGCGGUGUUUGGCACCUCGAUGUCGGCUCAUCACAUCCUGGGGCUGAAGUAGGUCCCAAGGGUAUGGCUGUUCGCCAUUUAAAGUGGUACGCGAGCUGGGUUUAGAACGUCGUGAGACAGUUCGGUCCCUAUCUGCCGUGGGCGCUGGAGAACUGAGGGGGGCUGCUCCUAGUACGAGAGGACCGGAGUGGACGCAUCACUGGUGUUCGGGUUGUCAUGCCAAUGGCACUGCCCGGUAGCUAAAUGCGGAAGAGAUAAGUGCUGAAAGCAUCUAAGCACGAAACUUGCCCCGAGAUGAGUUCUCCCUGAGACUU
RNAcentral lists this ribosomal RNA (1569 nucleotides) under Salmonella enterica. Its description in RNAcentral is "bacterial LSU rRNA". It matches the Rfam family "Bacterial large subunit ribosomal RNA", at positions 1271 to 2823 of the family's 2925-position model. Lineage: Bacteria; Pseudomonadati; Pseudomonadota; Gammaproteobacteria; Enterobacterales; Enterobacteriaceae. The record is from RNAcentral.